UAACUGAAUACAACACAUUUGAAAUGAUAUUAUCUUCAAUAUUUUUGCACCCUUUUGAUGAAUAAUUGUUCAGGGAAAAUGUAUAAACACAUUAUGGUCACAAAGUAAAUCCGUUAUUCUAUGUAUCCAAACUCUAUUUAUCAAUUUGUGCAUGAAACUCACAUUGGUUAAUGACCUAUGCAUUGUACUGAAGGUAUAUAUUGUGGUAUCUUAUUUUAAUUCUCUAGUUGAGUUGAGUCGAGCAAUCAUUGUUUUGUAGUUCAAAAAUGUGCAUUAGCCAGAGAACAACCACGAUAUCUUAAUUCGCUCCCGGCAUCAGGGUUCGAUUCCGGAGAGGGAGCCUGAGGAACAGCUACCACAUCCAAGGAAGGCAGCAGGCACGCAAAUUACCCAUUCUCAGAACAAGGAGGUAGUGACGAAAAAUAACAAUACGAGACUCUUCUGAGGCCCCGUAAUUGGAAUGAGUACACUUUAAAUCCUUUAACGAGAAUCCAUUGGAGGGCAAGUCUGGUGUCAGCAGCCGCAAUAAUUCCAGCUCCAACAGCGUAUAUUAAAGUUGUUGCGGUUAAAAAGCUCGUGGUUGGAUUUUGAUGCCGGACCGGCAAUCCGCCCUUUGUUAGGCGGUCUCACUGUCGCAAUCCGGGGCCAAACCAGCCGGCCAUCUCUUGAUGCUCAUCA
Molecule: non-coding RNA, 678 nt
Filed under: Strigamia maritima
Lineage: Eukaryota; Metazoa; Arthropoda; Chilopoda; Geophilomorpha; Linotaeniidae
Description: eukaryotic small subunit ribosomal RNA
Rfam family: Eukaryotic small subunit ribosomal RNA
Source: Rfam by way of RNAcentral